This 210-nucleotide unclassified non-coding RNA is filed under the name Hevea brasiliensis (rubber tree). The record is from RNAcentral. Lineage: Eukaryota; Viridiplantae; Streptophyta; Magnoliopsida; Malpighiales; Euphorbiaceae.
GUGAAAUCUGUUGUAAUUGCUGUGAGGGGAACUGAGACCCCCGAAGACCUCAUAACUGAUGGUUUAGGCAGGGAAUGCUGCCUUACUGAAGAAGAAUUAGAUAGCCUGCUAAAUGGCAAUCAUUGUGAUCCAUACCUUCAUCAAAGAGUGGUUUCGUCCACUCCACACUAUGCACACUCCGGAGUAGUUGAGGCCGCACGUGAUCUUUAC